CGGACGAACGCUGGCGGCGUGCUUAACACAUGCAAGUCGAACGGUGACGAGGAGCUUGCUCCUCUGAUCAGUGGCGAACGGGUGAGUAACACGUGAGCAACCUGCCCCAGACUCUGGGAUAACAGUUGGAAACAGCUGCUAAUACCGGAUACGAGACGGAGAGGCAUCUCUACCGUCUGGAAAGUUUUCGGUCUGGGAUGGACUCGCGGCCUAUCAGCUAGUUGGUGAGGUAAUGGCUCACCAAGGCGACGACGGGUAGCCGGCCUGAGAGGGCGACCGGCCACACUGGGACUGAGACACGGCCCAGACUCCUACGGGAGGCAGCAGUGGGGAAUAUUGCACAAUGGGCGAAAGCCUGAUGCAGCGACGCCGCGUGAGGGAUGACGGCCUUCGGGUUGUAAACCUCUUUCAGCAGGGAAGAAGCGAAAGUGACGGUACCUGCAGAAGAAGCACCGGCUAACUACGUG
Molecule: ribosomal RNA, 467 nt
Filed under: uncultured bacterium
Lineage: Bacteria
Description: bacterial SSU rRNA
Rfam family: Bacterial small subunit ribosomal RNA
Source: RNAcentral